CCUACGCGAGGCAGCAGUGAGGAAUAUUGGUCAAUGGACGAGAGUCUGAACCAGCCAAGUAGCGUGAAGGAUGACUGCCCUAUGGGUUGUAAACUUCUUUUAUAUGGGAAUAAAAUGAGCCACGUGUGCCUUUUUGUAUGUACUUUAUGAAUAAGGAUCGGCUAACUCCGUGCCAGCAGCCGCGGUAAUACGGAGGAUCCGAGCGUUAUCCGGAUUUAUUGGGUUUAAAGGGAGCGUAGAUGGGUUGUUAAGUCAGUUGUGAAAGUUUGCGGCUCAACCGUAAAAUUGCAGUUGAUACUGGCAGUCGUGAGUACAGUAGAGGUGGGCGGAAGUCGUGGUGUAGCGGUGAAAUGCUUAGAUAUCACGAAGAACGCCGAUUGCGAAGGCAGCUCACUGGACUGUGACUGACACUGAUGCGCGAAAGUGUGGGUAUCAAACAGGAUUAGAUACCCGAGUAGUC
Molecule: ribosomal RNA, 460 nt
Filed under: uncultured bacterium
Lineage: Bacteria
Description: partial 16S ribosomal RNA
Rfam family: Bacterial small subunit ribosomal RNA
Source: RNAcentral